This 301-nucleotide ribosomal RNA is filed under the name uncultured bacterium. RNAcentral's name for it is "partial 16S ribosomal RNA". It matches the Rfam family "Bacterial small subunit ribosomal RNA", at positions 509 to 809 of the family's 1533-position model. The record is from RNAcentral.
CAGCCGCCGCGGGAAUACGGAGGGUGCAAGCGUUAAUCGGAAUUACUGGGCGUAAAGCGCACGCAGGCGGUCUGUCAAGUCGGAUGUGAAAUCCCCGGGCUCAACCUGGGAACUGCAUUCGAAACUGGCAGGCUAGAGUCUUGUAGAGGGGGGUAGAAUUCCAGGUGUAGCGGUGAAAUGCGUAGAGAUCUGGAGGAAUACCGGUGGCGAAGGCGGCCCCCUGGACAAAGACUGACGCUCAGGUGCGAAAGCGUGGGGAGCAAACAGGAUUAGAUACCCCAGUAGUCCCUGUCUCUUAUAA